Molecule: ribosomal RNA, 456 nt
Filed under: uncultured bacterium
Lineage: Bacteria
Description: bacterial SSU rRNA
Rfam family: Bacterial small subunit ribosomal RNA
Source: RNAcentral
GGCCGCGGGAAUUCGAUUCAGGCCUAACACAUGCAAGUCGAGCGGGAACUUCGGUUCUAGCGGCGGACGGGUGAGUAAUGUAUAGGGAGCUGCCCGACAGAGGGGGAUACCAGUUGGAAACGACUGUUAAUACCGCAUAACGUCUACGGACCAAAGUAUGGGACCUUCGGGCCAUAUGCUGUCGGAUGCACCUAUAUGGGAUUAGCUAGUUGGUGGGGUAACGGCUCACCAAGGCGACGAUCCCUAGCUGGUUUGAGAGGAUGAUCAGCCACACUGGAACUGAGACACGGUCCAGACUCCUACGGGAGGCAGCAGUGGGGAAUAUUGGACAAUGGGCGCAAGCCUGAUCCAGCCAUGCCGCGUGUGUGAAGAAGGCCUUCGGGUUGUAAAGCACUUUCAGCGAGGAGGAAGGGGUGUGUGUUAAUAGCACAUAUCUUUGACGUACUGCAGAAGAAG